AAUGACUGGCUAUGAUGGAAACAGCCACCAUGUUGUGAAGACACUCAAUUAGACUUGUGGAGAGACUCACAUGGGCGAGAAACUAAGGGCUCCCACCAACAGCCCACAUCCACUUGCCAGCUCUGAAAGCAAAUAGAUCCUGCAGGCCUAGUCGAGCCUCAUUUGACUGACGCCUCAGUCAACAUCUUGACUGCAAGCCCAUGCAAAACACUGAGGCAGAAACCACCCACCCAAGAAGCUGCGAAUUCCUGACUGGCAAAAAAUGCGGAGCAGAAAACCAGGAAGUGGAUGGACUCCAUCUCCGCAGCCACGCCUGCCCGUUUGCGCUUACUGAAGGGAGGUCCUCAGGAACGUGAGCCCCUCUUUUUGGGCCUGUGAUUCCUCACCUGGAAGGGAGAAGAGUGGACUUCCUGCCUAGAGAACACCUUGGUAAACUCUUUGUGGUUCCUGUCAUGAGAAUGUGUGCAGCUUAGGGAAAAAGCCUGUGAGCUCUGGAAUCAGAUGGAACUGGAUAUAAAUUUCAAUUUAGUGCUUGUUGGAUUAAAUGUGAUGCUACUUCUCCCAGCUGAAAGAAUAAAACUGGUAAGAGGAAGGGAAAUGCAGCCUCAGUGAGGAGGCCUCCAUUCUGGAAGGGCUUCCCAGGCCCAGAGAAGGGAGAAAGUAAUUUGGAACCACCCAAGUAUUGGUGAUGCCAGGCCUCACCCUACCCUGGGGAUAUUUGAAUCUCAAAAAGGGAGCAUGGGGAUCUGACAAAGCACUUGCAUAUAUAAAGAACUCCUCCAAAUCAACAAGGCAAAAACCUCAUUAGAUACAUAGGCAAAAACCUUAGAAGAACCAUGUCACAAAGGAGGACCUCCAAAUGGCCAAGAAGCACAUGAAAAGAUGUUCAAUCUCAUUAGGUACCAGGGAAUUCAAAUUAGAACUACACCGGGAUGGCUGAAAGUGCAAAGACUGACAAUAUCAAGGGCUGGUGAGGAUGCAGAGCAACUGGAACUCUCCUAUGCGCUGGCGAAGGGGUAAAUUAAUACCGCCCCUUUGGAAGAACAGUUCAGAAGCAUCACUAAAGCUGAACAUGUUCAUGCCUACUCCUGAAAUCCUGAGCCCAGUGGCUCCCUUUGAAGAACUGCCUUGGGGUUUAUGUUCUAGCAUCAAACAGGGAUGGAAGAUGCAUCUUGCUUUAGCAGCAGGAGCCUGGAAAGCAGCUGAAGCCCUGGAGGGUGCCUGGCACACAGAAUCUUGUGCUGAGCCUGGAGCACAAUGGGAGUGGGCUGGCAAGGUGGGUUCACAGCUGGACUGGGAGCAGCAGACAUACAGGCCGUAGGCACAGUCAUAAAAAGACAGUCAUGCAGAUUAUAGGAUGCCUGCGAGCACAGACUCUCACAUGCACAAAUAUGUGCAUGAUCACCAAUGUGCAUCCAGACAGCCCCGCAUGCGUGCACAUGCAUGCACACAUGUGAUGUGUACGUAGAUGGACACAUGUCUAUGCCCACAAACACCGCAGAGACACACACAAAAGUGUCUGGCAAGGAACACUGUUUUGUCCUCAAUUUUCUGCCAGCGAGAGUCUACUGACUCCAUCUCUGAAACGUCUCUACUUAUUGUCCCUCUUCUCCACCUGUGCCACAUCCCUAGUCCCUGAAACUCCCACCGAGACCCCUGGGCAAUAGCACAGUCAGGACAGGAUUCCUGCUCCGCCUCAACCCCACCCUUAAGCCCAUCCUACAUGCAAGAGCAGGAGUUAUCUGGGUAUCAAGCAAAUCUGACCACAUCACCUUCCCACUGCUUAAAACCCUUUCCUACAGGAUGAAGUUUAAAUCACUUGACAUCCCAUAUAAGGCCCUUGACUGUCUGGCAUCAGCCAUAGUCUGGCCUCAGGCCCUGGCAUGGAGUCCCCUGGACUCAGUGCUCCAGCUGAGGGCCUCCAGGAUGAAGAUGCCCUGUGCAAAGCCUCACACUUUUGCUGUUGCUGGGCUCACUGUGUGAAAUUCCCUCCUCCCUCCUUCCACCUUCCCUAUGCUGAACUGCCACUCCUCCAUCCUCCAUGGCCAACUAAGCCAACAUCUCCUCACUUCCUCCUGACAACCCAGGCACAGCCACUGACCUGUCCUAUGGCUGUCACAACCCUUUCUUGGGCUCUCAGUGGUAUCAUUGUCACCUGUGUGCUCAUGAGCCUCCACCACUCAACUCCAAGCACAUCAAAUAGACAGCUCAAAACAU
This is a long non-coding RNA of Nomascus leucogenys (northern white-cheeked gibbon), 2217 nucleotides long. RefSeq lists it as uncharacterized. Lineage: Eukaryota; Metazoa; Chordata; Mammalia; Primates; Hylobatidae. The transcript has 5 exons. The record is from RefSeq and is a predicted model, not a curated record.